Pseudopipra pipra is the source of this 463-nucleotide long non-coding RNA. RefSeq lists it as uncharacterized. The record is from RefSeq and is a predicted model, not a curated record. The transcript has 3 exons. NCBI's taxonomy places the organism in Eukaryota, Metazoa, Chordata, Aves, Passeriformes, Pipridae.
UCCGGACCCCCCGCGCUCGCUGCGGCUCUCGGGGGUCUCCCCGACCUCCCUGAGCCUCUCGUGGAGCCCCGGCUUCGACGGGGGGUUGGAGCAGCACUUCCUGCUGCGGGCGGAAGGUCCGGGUGCCCCUCCCCCCACCGCCUCCCUGGUCACUUCCGGCCACGCCCUCACCCUGGGGGGGCUGCUCCCGGCCACGCCCUAUGACGUCAUCCUCCACGCCCGCAACGCCCGCGGCGACAGCGCCCCCGUGAGGAUCACGGCGGCCACUUCUGAGGCGCCCGAGGAGCGUCCCCGGGACGCGGCGCCUCCCCCGUGGGCGCCCCCUGGCGGCCCGGAGGCCUCGGCGGAAGCGAAGGGUCCUCCCGUCCUGGAGGGGGCGCUGAGCGCGCUGGGCGGGGCUUUGCUGGCCGCCCUCGGGGGGGCGCUCUGCUACUUCCGGUGGGGCGGCGGCGGCGGCGCCCCC